ACCGAGUGACCUAUCCAUGUCCAGGCUGAAGUGGAGGUAAAGCUCCAUGGAGGGCCGAACGCACGCCCGUUGAAAAGGUCGGCGAUGAGAUGUGGAUAGCGGAGAAAUUCCAAACGAACUCGGAUAUAGCUGGUUCUCUCCGAAAUAGCUUUAGGGCUAGCCUCAUGACAGAUUACCGGAGGUAAAGCACUGAUUGAGCUAGGGGGCGAAAGCCUACCGACCUCUCUCAAACUCUGAAUACCGGCUAAUCGAUUCAUGGGAGUCAGACAGUGUGUUAUAAAGCUCAUUGUCAAAAGGGAAACAGCCCAGACCCACAGCUAAGGUCCCAAAAUACUGUUAAGUGGAAAAGGAUGUGGAAUUGCGUAAACAACCAGGAUGUUGGCUUAGAAGCAGCCACUCAUUAAAAGAGUGCGUAAUAGCUCACUGGUCGAGUGAUCCUGCGCCGAUAAUUUAACGGGGCUAAACAGUAUACCGAAGCUUGGGCUUCUGCUUAUGCAGAGGGGUAGGAGAGCGUCGAAUAAGGGGUGAAGUCAGAGCGGAAGCGCUGGUGGACUUUAUUCGAGUGAGAAUGCCGGAAUGAGUAGCGAGAAUUAUGUGAGAAUCAUAAUGGCCGAAAGUCUAAGGUUUUAGGAGGAAGGUUCGUCCGCUCCUAGUUAGCCGGAAGCUAAGACGAGGCGGAAACGCGUAGCCGAUGCACAUACGGUAGACAUUCCGUAGCCGCGAAAACACUUAAAUCAAGGGACGCAUUCAAAGGGACUGACCGGAGAUUGGUUGAUCCGAAUCAGUUUUUGAGGAUGACAAGAAAAGCUUGAUGUAUGUGUUGAGCGUCCGUACCGCAAACCGACACAGGUAGAUAGGAAGAGGAUUCCAAGGCCAGCGAGAGAAGGGUUGUUAAGGAACUCGGCAAGUUGACCCCGUAACUUCGGAAUAAGGGGUACUCAAGAGAUUGAGUCGCAGUGAAUAGGUCCAGGCAACUGUUUAUCAAAAACACAGGUCUCUGCUAAAUCGAAAGAUGACGUAUAGGGGCUGACGCCUGCCCGGUGCCGGAAGGUUAAGAGGAGGAGUGAGAGCUCUGAAUUGAAGCCCCGGUAAACGGCGGCCGUAACUAUAACGGUCCUAAGGUAGCGAAAUUCCUUGUCAGGUAAGUUCUGACCCGCACGAAUGGCGUAAUGAUCUGGGCACUGUCUCGACAGCCCUCUCGGCGAAAUUGUAGUACCGGUGAAGAUGCCGGUUACCCGCGACUAGACGGAAAGACCCCAUGGAGCUUUACUGUAGCCUAAUAUUGAAUUUCGGUAUUUCAUGUACAGGAUAGGUGGGAGACUGGGAAACAUCGGCGUCAGCCGGUGCGGAGUCAACCUUGGGAUACCACUCUUGAAGUGCUGGAGUUCUAACCUGCGGCCGUGAAUCCGGUCGGGGAACAUUGUUAGGUGGGCAGUUUGACUGGGGCGGUCGCCUCCA
Molecule: ribosomal RNA, 1458 nt
Filed under: human gut metagenome
Description: bacterial LSU rRNA
Rfam family: Bacterial large subunit ribosomal RNA
Source: RNAcentral